RNAcentral lists this transfer RNA (84 nucleotides) under Echinostoma caproni. It matches the Rfam family "tRNA". From Rfam's summary of the family: Transfer RNA (tRNA) molecules are approximately 80 nucleotides in length. Their secondary structure includes four short double-helical elements and three loops (D, anti-codon, and T loops). Further hydrogen bonds mediate the characteristic L-shaped molecular structure. tRNAs have two regions of fundamental functional importance: the anti-codon, which is responsible for specific mRNA codon recognition, and the 3' end, to which the tRNAs corresponding amino acid is attached (by aminoacyl-tRNA synthetases). tRNAs cope with the degeneracy of the genetic code in two manners: having more than one tRNA (with a specific anti-codon) for a particular amino acid; and 'wobble' base-pairing, i.e. permitting non-standard base-pairing at the 3rd anti-codon position. Lineage: Eukaryota; Metazoa; Platyhelminthes; Trematoda; Plagiorchiida; Echinostomatidae. The record is from Rfam by way of RNAcentral.
GGCCUUGUAGCUCAACUAUUAGAUUGUGCGCUGUACAAAAGCAUGGGCGGCCUCCAUGCGUGGGUUCGAAUCCCAUCGAGGCUA